Molecule: transfer RNA, 43 nt
Filed under: Sinomicrurus macclellandi (MacClellands coral snake)
Lineage: Eukaryota; Metazoa; Chordata; Lepidosauria; Squamata; Elapidae
Description: partial tRNA-Leu
Source: RNAcentral
AUAGCAGUAUUCCACUGGUCUUAGGCACCAAAACUCUUGGUGC